Non-coding RNA from Camelina sativa (false flax), 299 nucleotides. The record is from RefSeq and is a predicted model, not a curated record. NCBI's taxonomy places the organism in Eukaryota, Viridiplantae, Streptophyta, Magnoliopsida, Brassicales, Brassicaceae.
CAUCAAGCAAAAACCUAUUCCAAACUUUACUCGACUCCAGCAAUAGCUCAAUUACUAGACUCAGUCCCAAGCAUUCACAAGACCAAGCAUGCUCGCAGAUCAUAACAAAACCAAAAGCUUAUUUACUACCAUAUAUUGUGUUUCAAGAUCCAAAAGCAUUGUCAUGGUCAUAUCUGGCUCAUGUCACAACAAUGCUCCAAAGCAAAGGAGAAAAGACUAUUAAGCAGACGCCAUAAUGCUGAACAAACUUGAUUUAACAUAUAAGCUGAUAUGGUUGUUGGAUUUAAAUCUAUUUUGAA